Molecule: non-coding RNA, 30 nt
Filed under: Rattus norvegicus (Norway rat)
Lineage: Eukaryota; Metazoa; Chordata; Mammalia; Rodentia; Muridae
Source: RNAcentral
UGAUUCUCUUAUGCAGUCUCUUGAGGCACC